UGGGGAAUUUUGGACAAUGGGCGCAAGCCUGAUCCAGCAAUGCCGCGUGCAGGAUGAAGGCCUUCGGGUUGUAAACUGCUUUUGUACGGAACGAAACGGCUCUGUCUAAUACAUGGGGCUAAUGACGGUACCGUAAGAAUAAGCACCGGCUAACUACGUGCCAGCAGCCGCGGUAAUACGUAGGGUGCGAGCGUUAAUCGGAAUUACUGGGCGUAAAGCGCGCGCAGGCGGUUGUGUAAGUCAGAUGUGAAAUCCCCGGGCUCAACCUGGGAACUGCAUUUGAGACUGCACGGCUAGAGUGUAGCAGAGGGGGGUAGAAUUCCACGUGUAGCAGUGAAAUGCGUAGAGAUGUGGAGGAAUACCGAUGGCGAAGGCAGCCCCCUGGACCUGUACUGACGCUCAUGCACGAAAGCGUGGGGAGCAAACA
This 427-nucleotide ribosomal RNA is filed under the name uncultured bacterium. RNAcentral's name for it is "bacterial SSU rRNA". It matches the Rfam family "Bacterial small subunit ribosomal RNA", at positions 355 to 774 of the family's 1533-position model. The record is from RNAcentral.